AUGCCCAAGCGCACCAUGGGAGGGAGGGCCGACGCCGGGCCGAUGCCAUGGCGCACGAAGCAUCCAAGCGCCGGGCGAAGCUGCACAUGGAGAAACCCCUCCCCGCCGGCGAGGGGUCUAGCCGGCAGCAGGGCGGCCUUGACGUCGUCGACCACGUCCAGGCUCCGGUGCAGGUGUCACCUACGCCGGAGCAGGUGGCUCCUUCGCCGGAGCAGGUGA
This 219-nucleotide ribosomal RNA is filed under the name Triticum aestivum (bread wheat). Its description in RNAcentral is "partial small subunit ribosomal RNA". Lineage: Eukaryota; Viridiplantae; Streptophyta; Magnoliopsida; Poales; Poaceae. The record is from RNAcentral.